AUCGCUUCUCGGCCUUUUGGCUAAGAUCAAGUGUAGUACCUGUUCUUAUCAGUUUAAUAUCUGAUACAUCCUCUAUCCAAAAUGCAGAUUUUCCAUGUACUGUAAAAAAAAAAAGUUUGCAUAAAAUCAGGUUGAUAGGGCCCAGUCUGAGAGCCUAGUGGCUAAAUCCUUGCCUUGCGUCCACUGGAAUAUCA
This is a small nuclear RNA of Ochotona princeps (American pika), 194 nucleotides long. RefSeq annotates it as U2 spliceosomal RNA. Lineage: Eukaryota; Metazoa; Chordata; Mammalia; Lagomorpha; Ochotonidae. The transcript has a single exon. The record is from RefSeq and is a predicted model, not a curated record.